Molecule: ribosomal RNA, 305 nt
Filed under: uncultured bacterium
Lineage: Bacteria
Description: bacterial SSU rRNA
Rfam family: Bacterial small subunit ribosomal RNA
Source: RNAcentral
CCUACGGGGGGCAGCAGUGGGGGAUAUUGCACAAUGGGGGGAACCCUGAUGCAGCGACGCCGCGUGAGCGAAGAAGUACCUCGGUAUGUAAAGCUCUAUCAGCAGGGAAGAAAAUGACGGUACCUGACUAAGAAGCCCCGGCUAACUACGUGCCAGCAGCCGCGGUAAUACGUAGGGGGCAAGCGUUAUCCGGAUUUACUGGGUGUAAAGGGAGCGUAGACGGAUAAGCAAGUCUGAUGUGAAAAUCCGGGGCCCAACCCCGGAAUUGCAUUGGAAACUGCAUAUCUAGAGUGUCGGAGAGGCAA